UACGUAGGGUGCGAGCGUUAAUCGGAAUUACUGGGCGUAAAGCGUGCGCAGGCGGUUUUGUAAGCCGGAUGUGAAAUCCCCGGGCUUAACCUGGGAAUGGCAUUCGGGACUGCAAGGCUGGAGUGCGGCAGAGGAGACUGGAAUUCCUGGUGUAGCAGUGAAAUGCGUAGAUAUCAGGAGGAACACCGAUGGCGAAGGCAGCUCGCUGGAACGGUACUGACGCUGAGGCGCGAAAGCGUGGGGAGCGAACAGG
Molecule: ribosomal RNA, 253 nt
Filed under: uncultured bacterium
Lineage: Bacteria
Description: partial 16S ribosomal RNA
Rfam family: Bacterial small subunit ribosomal RNA
Source: RNAcentral